UGAAUACGAGACGCUACGGCGUCGAAGCAGUCUAUGUCGUACUUCCAAGAAAAGCUCGCAAUGUCAUAAACAAAUAAUGCCUGUACCAUAACCGACACAGGUGGGUAGGUAGAGUAUACUAAGGGGCGCGAGAUAACUCUCUCUAAGGAACUCGGCAAAAUGACUCCGUAACUUCGGGAGAAGGAGUGCCUUAUUUAUAAGGUUGCAAUAACAAGAUCCAAGCAACUGUUUAUCAAAAACACAGGUCUCCGCUAAGUCGUAAGACGAUGUAUGGGGGCUGACGCCUGCCCAGUGCCAGAAGGUUAAAGAAGUUGGUUAGCAUUCGCGAAGCUGAUAACUGAAGCCCUGGUGAACGGCGGCCGUAACUAUAACGGUCCUAUGUAGCGAAAUUCCUUGUCGGGUAAGUUCCGACCCGCACGAAAGGCGUAAUGAUUUGGAUACUGUCUCGGAGAGGGGCUCGGUGAAAUAGACUUGUCUGUGAAGAUGCGGACUACCUGCACCUGGACAGAAAGACCCUAUGAAGCUUUUCUGUAACUUGAAAUUGAAAUUGGACUUUAUUUGCGCAGCAUAGGUGGGAGGCGUUGAGAGUAUUCUUGCGGGAAUAUUGGAGCCAUCAGUGAGAUACCACUCUUGUAAUGUUAGAUUUCUAACUUUGGAUCAUUAUCUGGUCAAAGAACAGUUUCAGGCGGGCAGUUUGACUGGGGCGGUCGCCUCCCAAAUGGUAACGGAGGCGUACAAAGGUUUCCUCUGAACGGGUAGAAAUCGUAUCUAGAGUGUAAAGGCAUAAGGAAGCUUGACUGUGAGACCUACAAGUCGAGCAGGGACGAGAGUCGGUCUUAGUGAUCUGACGGUGCUGAGUGGAAAGGCCGUCACUCAACGGAUAAAAGUUACUCUAAGGAUAACAGGCUGAUCUCCCCCAAGAGUUCACAUCGACGGGGAGGUUUGGCACCUCGAUGUCGGCUCAUCGCAUCCUGGGGCGGUAGUACGUCCCAAGGGUUGGGCUGUUCGCCCAUGAAAGCGGUACGCGAGCUGGGUUCAGAACGUCGUGAGACAGUUCGGUCCAUAUCCGGUGUAGGCGUUAGAAUAUUGAGAGGAGCCUUCUUUAGUACGAGAGGACCGAGAAGGACAUACCUCUGGUGUACCAGUUAUCGUGCCAACGGUAAACGCUGGGUAGCUAUGUAUGGAGAGGAUAACCGCUGAAAGCAUCUAAGUGGGAAGCCCACCUCAAGAUAAG
Molecule: ribosomal RNA, 1234 nt
Filed under: metagenome
Description: bacterial LSU rRNA
Rfam family: Bacterial large subunit ribosomal RNA
Source: RNAcentral